RNAcentral lists this ribosomal RNA (301 nucleotides) under uncultured bacterium. RNAcentral describes it as "partial 16S ribosomal RNA". It matches the Rfam family "Bacterial small subunit ribosomal RNA", at positions 509 to 807 of the family's 1533-position model. The record is from RNAcentral.
CAGCAGCCGCGGUAAUACGUAGGGUGCGAGCGUUAAUCGGAAUUACUGGGCGUAAAGCGUGCGCAGGCGGUUAUGUAAGACAGUUGUGAAAUCCCCGGGCUCAACCUGGGAACUGCAUCUGUGACUGCAUAGCUAGAGUACGGUAGAGGGGGAUGGAAUUCCGCGUGUAGCAGUGAGAUGCGUAGAUAUGCGGAGGAACACCGAUGGCGAAGGCAAUCCCCUGGACCUGUACUGACGCUCAUGCACGAAAGCGUGGUGAGCAAACAGGAUUAGAUACCCGAGUAGUCCCUGUCUCUUAUAC